GCUUAGAGAGGGGUCAAUGUCCUAUCAGCUAGUUGGUAGGGUAAUGGCCUACCAAGGCUAAGACGGGUAGCCGGCCUGAGAGGGUGGUCGGCCACACUGGGACUGAGACACUGCCCAGACUCCUACGGGAGGCUGCAGUCGAGAAUCUUUCGCAAUGCCUGAAAGGGUGGCGAAGCGACGCCGCGUGUGGGAAGAAGGCCUUCGGGUUGUAAACCACUGUCGGGAGUUAAGAAAUGCAAGGGUGUUAAUAGCAUCCUUGCUUGACUAAGGCUCCGGAGGAAGCCACGGCUAACUCUGUGCCAGCAGCCGCGGUAAUACAGAGGCGGCAAGCGUUGUUCGGAGUUAUUGGGCGUAAAGAGCACGUAGGCGGCUUUGUAAGUCAGUUGUGGAAGCCUUCUGCUCAACGGAAGAACAGCAUCUGAUACUGCAAGGCUAGAGUGCGGAAGGG
This 448-nucleotide ribosomal RNA is filed under the name uncultured Planctomycetota bacterium. Its description in RNAcentral is "bacterial SSU rRNA". It matches the Rfam family "Bacterial small subunit ribosomal RNA", at positions 217 to 656 of the family's 1533-position model. The record is from RNAcentral. Lineage: Bacteria; Pseudomonadati; Planctomycetota.